Molecule: ribosomal RNA, 429 nt
Filed under: uncultured bacterium
Lineage: Bacteria
Description: bacterial SSU rRNA
Rfam family: Bacterial small subunit ribosomal RNA
Source: RNAcentral
AACGAACGCUGGCGGCGCGCCUAAUACAUGCAAGUCGAGCGAGAAGACGUAGCAAUACGUUUGUAAAGCGGCGAACGGGUGAGGAAUACAUGGGUAACCUACCCUCGAGUGGGGAAUAACUAGCCGAAAGGUUAGCUAAUACCGCGUACGCUCCUUGGACUUCGGUUCAGGGAGGAAAGCGAUACCGUGGGUACCGCGCUCUUGGAUGGGCUCAUGUCCUAUCAGCUUGUUGGUGAGGAACGGCUCACCAAGGCUUCGACGGGUAGCUGGUCUGAGAGGACGAUCAGCCACACUGGCACUGCGACACGGGCCAGACUCCUACGGGAGGCAGCAGUAAGGAAUAUUGCGCAAUGGGCGAAAGCCUGACGCAGCGACGCCGCGUGGGGGAUGAAGGUCUUCGGAUUGUAAACCCCUUUCGGGAGGGAAGAU